Molecule: ribosomal RNA, 406 nt
Filed under: uncultured bacterium
Lineage: Bacteria
Description: partial 16S ribosomal RNA
Rfam family: Bacterial small subunit ribosomal RNA
Source: RNAcentral
AUUGAACGCUGGCGGCAGGCCUAACACAUGCAAGUCGAACGAGUGGCGGACGGGUGAGUAAUGCCUGGGAAACUGGCUGAUGGAGGGGGAUAACUACUGGAAACGGUAGCUAAUACCGCAUACCAUCAGAUGUGCCCAAUGGGGAUUAGCUAGUUGGUGAGGUAAAGGCUCACCAAGCCGACGAUCUCUAGCUGGUCUGAGAGGAUGACCAGCCACACGGGAACUGAGACACGGUCCAGACUCCUACGGGAGGCAGCAGUGGGGAAUAUUGCGCAAUGGGCGCAACCCUGACGCAGCAAUGCCGCGUGUAUGAAGAAGGCCUUCGGGUUGUAAAGUACUUUCGGUGGGGAGGCGUUACCUGCAGAAGAAGCACCGGCUAACUCCGUGCCAGCAGCCGCGGUAAUUC